CAGUAGCCACGGGAAUACGUAGGUGGUAAGCGUUGUCCGGAAUUAUUGGGCGUAAAGCGCGCGCAGGCGGAUCAGUCAGUCUGUCUUAAAAGUUCGGGGCUUAACCCCGCGAUGGGAUGGAAACUGCUGAUCUAGAGUAUCGGAGAGGAAAGUGGAAUUCCUAGUGUAGCGGUGAAAUGCGUAGAUAUUAGGAAGAACACCAGUGGCGAAGGCGACUUUCUGGACGAGAACUGACGCUGAGGCGCGAAAGCCAGGGGAGCGAACGGGAUUAGAUACCCCCGUAGUCCCUGUCUCUUAUACA
RNAcentral lists this ribosomal RNA (301 nucleotides) under uncultured bacterium. Its description in RNAcentral is "partial 16S ribosomal RNA". It matches the Rfam family "Bacterial small subunit ribosomal RNA", at positions 509 to 809 of the family's 1533-position model. The record is from RNAcentral.